Long non-coding RNA from Hydractinia symbiolongicarpus, 161 nucleotides. RefSeq lists it as uncharacterized. The record is from RefSeq and is a predicted model, not a curated record. NCBI's taxonomy places the organism in Eukaryota, Metazoa, Cnidaria, Hydrozoa, Anthoathecata, Hydractiniidae. The transcript has 2 exons.
GGUUAAGUAAAGCUAGCCGUACCUAACAGCCGCACCUUAGCCGUACCUUAGCCGUACUUAAGAAAAUUCGUAAUUAGCAGCUCUGUGUGAAUAUCUAUGCCGAUAAAAAUGAUGCAAAAUGGAGCACUCCAUCGUCGAGCCCCAGUAACCCCCAGGGAAUC